Molecule: long non-coding RNA, 465 nt
Filed under: Sus scrofa (pig)
Lineage: Eukaryota; Metazoa; Chordata; Mammalia; Artiodactyla; Suidae
Description: lncRNA (ENSSSCG00060015632.1)
Source: RNAcentral
UUGAUUUUUUCCCCAGGCAAACUAAGAUGUGAAAUUUAAUAAUCCCUUCUGACAAUCUUAUAAAAAUGGACUGCCAUGCUUAAUUGAUGACAGGUCUCUUCAUCUGCCACCACCAGGCAUUCUCUUUGCCUCUGCGAGGGAGAGGAGUUCCUAACACCUGCUCAGCCCACACAGCACCACCAUGACCAGCUCCACCUGACUGCUGUGAAAGGCCCCUUUGAGCAGCUCCAAGAUCAGGUGCAGGAAGACCCUUGAUAAUACACAUGUGCACCAGAGACCCUCUAGGUCAGAUGCUGGCACUCUAGAAGGAAGCGUCCUCAAAUUCCUGCUCUGGCUCUCAUGCUGAAGUCUCUGGGAACGCCUUUAUGGGACCUUAGGUACGUUGGCACUGCCUUCUAAACUUAUGUUGUUUCAGUCUGCAUCUCAUGCAUUCCCUAACCCCCAGAAACUAUGAUAUUGUGUUUU